This 31-nucleotide non-coding RNA is filed under the name Rattus norvegicus (Norway rat). The record is from RNAcentral. Lineage: Eukaryota; Metazoa; Chordata; Mammalia; Rodentia; Muridae.
UACUGUGAACCAGAGCCAAGGCAAUUAUGGG